AUGCCGUCGUUAUCGCCGCCGGCUCCCAGGAGCCGGAACCGAGGGAAAGAGUCCAAGAGGGUUUCCGAGAGGAGCUGGGCGGAGCUGCCCCUGGACGCGUUGCUCUGCGUCUUCCACAAACUGGACCGCGCCGACCUUAUGUUCGGGGGCCCGUCCAUGGCGUGCCGCUCCUCGCGCCAAGCGGCACGCCAGCCCGAGCUGUGGCGCUAUGUCGACAUGCGCGGCCACUCCAGGCUCAACAGGACGGCGCGGCUCUUCGCCAUCCCGUUGAGCGCGGGCCAGUGCCAGUGGUUCUUGGGCGAUCACUACGUGGACGACGACCUGCUCCUUUACCUCGCACAGCAGUAA
RNAcentral lists this ribosomal RNA (348 nucleotides) under Triticum aestivum (bread wheat). RNAcentral's name for it is "partial small subunit ribosomal RNA". The record is from RNAcentral. Lineage: Eukaryota; Viridiplantae; Streptophyta; Magnoliopsida; Poales; Poaceae.